Non-coding RNA from Danio rerio (zebrafish), 1860 nucleotides. The record is from RefSeq and is a predicted model, not a curated record. NCBI's taxonomy places the organism in Eukaryota, Metazoa, Chordata, Actinopteri, Cypriniformes, Danionidae.
AGUUCAACUAUAAAUACUGGAAUAUUCCCAUCAGUCCACAAGUGAAGACGAGCUUCAGACCAUCAGGAGGAAGAGAAAUCUGAAAGGCCGAGUUUAUUGAAGGAAAGAGAGAACAUGAGUGAUCAUGAACCUUUCAGAUUUAAACUGGAAGAGACUGAAGAACAAACAGACCUUAAAGAAAAUGAGAAGAGGGAAGAGCAGACACUCGUAAAAGCUGGGAAAACAUCUCAUUUACUGACUGGAGGUAUUUUUUCAAUGGAAAGUGGAGACCGAAAUGAUUUUACCUGCAGUCAGUGUGGAAAGAGUUUGAGAGGCAAACAGAGUCUUAAGAUUCACAUGAGGAUCCACACUGGAGAGAAACCAUGCACAUGUACUCAGUGUGGGAAGAGUUUGAGAGACAAACAGAGUCUUAAGAUUCAUAUGAGGAUCCACACUGGAGAGAAACCAUGCACAUGUACUCAGUGUGGGAAGAGUUUCAGAGAUUUAUCAAACCUUAAUAAACACAUGCGUAUCCACACUGGAGAGAAAACUCACAAAUGUGAUCAAUGCGGCAAAACAUUUUAUUGGGCUUCAGAGCUGAAGAUCCAUCUUAGAGUUCACACAAAGGAGAAACCUUAUUCCUGUUCUGAGUGUGGAAAGAGUUUUACACGGAUAACAAAUUUAAAAACCCAUCAGAAGAUCCACACUGGUGUGAAAGAGUAUCUGUGCUUUGAGUGUGAGAAGACUUUUAUUACAGCUGGAGAAUUGAAACUGCAUCAGAUGAAUCACACUGGAGAGAAACCAUACAAGUGUUCACACUGCAAUAAGAGAUUCAGUCACACAGGACACCUGAAAACACAUGAGAGGAUUCACACUGGAGAGAAACCUUACAGGUGUUCACACUGCAAUAAGAGAUUCAGUCAGACAGGACACCUGAAAACACAUGAGAGGAUUCACACUGGAGAGAAACCGUACGCCUGCAGUCAGUGUGGAAAGAGUUUAAAAGGCAAAAAGAGUCUUAAAAUUCACUUGAGGAUCCACACUGGAGAGAAACCAUUUACCUGUACUCAAUGUGGGAAGAGUUUCACACAAUUAUCAAGCCUUAAUCUACACAUGAUGAUUCACACUGGAGAGAGACCACACAAUUGUGAUCAAUGCGGCAAAACAUUUUACAGGGCUACAGAGCUGAAGAUCCAUCUUAGAGUUCACACAAAGGAGAAACCUUAUUCCUGUUCUGAGUGUGGAAAGAGUUUUACACAGCAGACAAAUUUAAGAACACAUCAGAAGAUCCAUAUUGGUGUGAAAGAGUAUCUGUGCUUUGAGUGUGAGAAGACUUUUAUUACAGCUGGAGAAUUGAAACAGCAUGAGAGGAUUCACACUAGAGAGAAACCGUAUACAUGUUCACACUGCGACAAGAGCUUCAGUCAGCCAGGAAGCCUGAAAACACAUGAGAGGAUUCACACUGGAGAGAAACCGUAUACGUGUUCACACUGCGACAAGAGCUUCAGUCAGCCAGGAAGCCUGAAAACACAUGAGAGGAUUCACACUGAAGAGAAAAGGUAUACGUGUUCACACUGCGACAAGAGAUUCAGUCAGUCAGGAAGCCUGAAAACACAUGAGAGGAUUCACACUGGAGAGAAACCGUACACAUGUGAUCAGUGUCUGAAGAGUUUCUCACAGUUGAUUACUCUUAAGAAACACAUGAAAAUCCACACUGGAGAAAAGCAGCACACUUGACAUCAAUGCAGCAAAACAGUUUCUCAUCUGGAACGAGUAUUUAUUGUGUGAACAUCAGGAAAUACAGGUGUGAGAGAGAUGAGUGUGGAAAGUCUGUCCAGUUGUUUUGUGUAUUUUGUUUUAUCAAUAAAUUUUCUUUACUCC